This 72-nucleotide transfer RNA is filed under the name Camelus bactrianus (Bactrian camel). It matches the Rfam family "tRNA". From Rfam's summary of the family: Transfer RNA (tRNA) molecules are approximately 80 nucleotides in length. Their secondary structure includes four short double-helical elements and three loops (D, anti-codon, and T loops). RNAcentral also lists the same sequence under 2 other names. Lineage: Eukaryota; Metazoa; Chordata; Mammalia; Artiodactyla; Camelidae. The record is from Rfam by way of RNAcentral.
GAAGGUAGAGCUCAGUGGCAGAGUGUGUGCUUAGCAUGCAUGUGGUCCUGGGUUCAAUCCCCAGUGCCUCCA